Macadamia integrifolia is the source of this 1062-nucleotide long non-coding RNA. RefSeq lists it as uncharacterized. NCBI's taxonomy places the organism in Eukaryota, Viridiplantae, Streptophyta, Magnoliopsida, Proteales, Proteaceae. The transcript has 3 exons. The record is from RefSeq and is a predicted model, not a curated record.
AGCCUAAGUGGAACUCAAGAAAAACCCAAUCCAUCACCCUGCUCCACUAACCCCCGACUCCAUCUUCCCCCUUCUCCUCCAAUUUGAAAUAGCUGAAGCUUCUCACCUCUUUCUCAAAAAAUGGGAUUCCAUCUCUCACUCUCUUUCUCAAAUUGCUGAAGGAUCCUCACCCCUUGCUCUCAUCGCUUCCCUCUCUUUUUCUAAUCGCUAAAGGCUUCUCACCCCCGAUUGAGGUUUUUUCCCCUAUUUCUGAAAUCGCUGAAGACCUUGACGUUCGAUUGAAGGCUCGCCGGCGUCCGGACAUUCUUAUCUUUGAGGUAGCAAUUGGGGCUGCUCGAGGCCUGGCUUUCUUGCAUGCUUCGGAUAGGUCAGUCAUUUCGGGUUUGCGAGAUUUAGGCCUUCGAGAUGUGACUCACAUUAUGUGACAACACGGAUUAUGGGCACCCGCGGCUAUGCUGCACCUGAGUAUGUUGCCAAAGGGAUGCAUUUGACCUAAACGAAAAAACAAAUAUGUCAUUGAGCAUGCCAUCUUUAUGUUAAGACUUAAGAGUGACGUUAUGGCUUCGGAAUUGUGCUGCUUUAGAUGCGAACGGGGCUAAGAGCACCUGACCCGACCCGUCCUAGUAUGCAGCGUUGUUUGGUUGACUGGGCAAAGCCAAUAAUAUUUGACGGAAGAAGGUUAAAAACCAUAAUGGAUGCUCGGAUGGAAAAGCAAUAUCCCAUGAAAGGUGCAUUACUAGCUGCGAAACUGUGUUGGAAUUGUCUUCAAUCUGAUCCUAAAAGCCGUCCAUUCAUGAAAGAAGUUGUUGAGAAAUUGGAACAGAUUGAAGCCAUUAAGGUGAAACCCAAGUUUUGACUCAAGGAUUAUUGUAUCGAUAUCGAUUGGUUGAAUAUAAGAUACGUAUUGGAAGGUAUCAUGUUAGUAUCGAAGAUAUUUUCAACCAUAUUCUUUGAUAGAAAAAAUCAUUGGUUAAAUAUGUAUCUUCUAUCCUAUUUGUAAGUUUUCAAUACAUUUGUGUAAUGUUGUCUUGAUUGAUCAAGUCCGCUUAGUGAUCUUGGUAA